CGAGGUCCAAUCCGCUAAUGAUUCUUCGAGUAUUGAUGAGACCCUGUCCACCAAUGCAAGUAUAAUUAAAGACGAGGUCGUCCCAUCAGGCAAAAUCAAUCUCGCCAUAGAAGAGUUAAAUUGAAAUCUUCUUCACGAAAAAAUGAUGUAUACGGUGAGCACAUGAUCAACAUCAGUAAGGAAGUGUCAUGAUGAAAAAUCGAUAUAGCUGCAAAAAGAAAAUGUUUGUAAAAGGAAAAACUCGUUAUAGUUAUUGCACUAAUACCGUUCGUUACAUGAUGCAGCAUUGUAUGACAUAUAUGUUUACGAAUUAAUAUUAAAUUGUUCGCAAACAAAUAUGUGAAAUAUAGUUGACAAUUACGAUAAACGGAUGAACUCACGAAACAAUGACAACAAAAUAUUCAUUAAAUAACACUAACUUUAAAAGAUGGAAUUUUAGCGUUGAUGGAAACGGAAGAAAUAGUUGAAGCUCCAAAGGCUAACAGAGGAACUCCAGAAGGUCUAGGUAACACUGAUGUUCUCUUCAAGAACCUCUAAAAGUCCAUAAUCCAUUUAGGAUGACAAAUCCAAAUAAUGUCAAGGACUCUAUUUCCUCCUUCCUGCAUGGACUACUCAAAAAGUUUCGCCUCGUAAUUCUUUCUGUAACCGACAACGGACUCUACAACAAAAAAUCCAGCCUUUCUACUUUCUAGCUCAUUACACAGCAUGACCAACUCAUCCC
RNAcentral lists this long non-coding RNA (721 nucleotides) under Olea europaea (common olive). Its description in RNAcentral is "long non-coding RNA (OEUR_LNC009915)". The record is from RNAcentral. Lineage: Eukaryota; Viridiplantae; Streptophyta; Magnoliopsida; Lamiales; Oleaceae.